This 251-nucleotide ribosomal RNA is filed under the name uncultured prokaryote. RNAcentral describes it as "partial 16S rRNA". It matches the Rfam family "Bacterial small subunit ribosomal RNA", at positions 525 to 775 of the family's 1533-position model. The record is from RNAcentral.
ACGUAGGGGGCGAGCGUUGUCCGAAUUUACUGGGCGUAAAGCGCGCGUAGGCGGGUUAUUAAGUUGGUGGUGAAAUUCCGAGGCUCAACUUCGGAACUGCCGCCAAAACUGGUAGCCUUGAGGUAUGGAGAGGAAAGUGGAAUUCCUGGUGUAGCGGUGAAAUGCGUAGAUAUCAGGAGGAACACCCAUGGCGAAGGCAGCUUUCUGGCCAUAUCCUGACGCUGAGGUGCGAAAGCCAGGGGAGCGAACGG